UACGGAGGGGGCAAGCGUUGUUCGGAAUUACUGGGCGUAAAGGGCGCGUAGGCGGAAUGGCAAGUCGGUCGUGAAAUCCUUCGGCUCAACCGAAGAACGUCGAUCGAAACUGCCGUUCUUGAGGAUUGCAGAGGAGACUGGAAUUCCCGGUGUAGCGGUGAAAUGUGUAGAGAUCGGGAGGAACACCGGUGGCGAAGGCGGGUCUCUGGGCAAUUCCUGACGCUGAGGCGCGAAAGCGUGGGGAGCAAACGGG
RNAcentral lists this ribosomal RNA (253 nucleotides) under uncultured bacterium. Its description in RNAcentral is "partial 16S ribosomal RNA". It matches the Rfam family "Bacterial small subunit ribosomal RNA", at positions 524 to 776 of the family's 1533-position model. The record is from RNAcentral.